GGUGUAUCUACUCCCUUGACCAUAUUGCACAAAAAAUUAUAGAUGACUGCAUAAACACAAAAAAUUAAACUCUGAAGAAACCAAGCAAAGCCACAUAAGUGAUUUAAUGAUCUGCAACACGUGAUAUUGUGAAAGAAAUAAAUAAAAAACUGAAAUACCUAUAUCCAUUAUACCAUGAGUUAUUAUUGACAGCCACAAACUCCAGUAAAACACCUGCUGAAAUUAUAGUCCAACAAAGCAGAAAAUUUGCCGCAUAGCAGAAAAAAAGAACAAAAUCUGCGGCACCUGAGGUCUCAACUAGACUGGAGGGAAGCGACUUUGCUGAGAGGGUUUGAAGGGUGCGAUCUCGCAAUCAAGAACAAACUAAUCUAAAAUAAAAAACUAGCAAAGGUUCUGAGCAACUUCUGAAUGCAUGAACUAACACACUCAAAUUAAACAAAGUAAAGUGAGAUUUUGAAGUGAUAAAAAAAGAUAGUAAGAGUCUGAACUUACUUGAUGUCGUCGACGAAGGUGCGAGCGAUCUCCUUGUGUGGCAGCAACUUCUUGCUCUGUGUGAGAAAAUAAAGGAAAAGGAAAACAAAGUUGAGCUAAAAUUCCGGAAAAAAACCACAAGUCAAUCUAGUCAAACAUUUUCACAUUUGAACAAAA
Molecule: long non-coding RNA, 648 nt
Filed under: Trifolium pratense (red clover)
Lineage: Eukaryota; Viridiplantae; Streptophyta; Magnoliopsida; Fabales; Fabaceae
Description: long non-coding RNA (TPRA_LNC003893)
Source: RNAcentral